RNAcentral lists this ribosomal RNA (465 nucleotides) under uncultured bacterium. RNAcentral's name for it is "partial 16S ribosomal RNA". It matches the Rfam family "Bacterial small subunit ribosomal RNA", at positions 338 to 795 of the family's 1533-position model. The record is from RNAcentral.
CCUACGGGUGGCAGCAGUAGGGAAUUUUCGUCAAUGGGCGCAAGCCUGAACGAGCAAUGCCGCGUGAACGAGGAAGGUCUUCGGAUCGUAAAGUUCUGUUGAAGGGGAAAAAGAGCGGAGAGAGGAAAUGAACUCCGAUUGAUAUUACCCUUCGAGGAAGUCACGGCUAACUACGUGCCAGCAGCCGCGGUCAUACGGGGGAUGCGAGCGUUAUCCGGAUUUAUUGGGUUUAAAGGGUGCGUAGGCGGCGCUUCAGGUCAGCGGUGAAAUACCGGGGCUCAACCCCGGGGCUGCCGUUGAAACCGGAGCGCUAGAAUUCCGAUGCCGUCGGAGGAAUGUGUGGUGUAGCGGUGAAAUGCAUAGAUAUCACACAGAACACCGAUUGCGAAGGCAUCUGACGAAUCGGAGAUUGACGCUGAUGCACGAAAGCGUGGGUAUCGAACAGGAUUAGAUACCCUGGUAGUC